Cervus hanglu yarkandensis (Yarkand deer) is the source of this 83-nucleotide microRNA precursor. Ensembl annotates it as microRNA 125b-2. Its record names the gene MIR125B2. The record is from Ensembl. NCBI's taxonomy places the organism in Eukaryota, Metazoa, Chordata, Mammalia, Artiodactyla, Cervidae.
GACUUUUCCUAGUCCCUGAGACCCUAACUUGUGAGGUAUUUUAGUAACAUCACAAGUCAGGCUCUUGGGACCUAGGCGGAGGG